GAAAGUGCGACAUGGAAAUGGUGCACCUCCAGCUGCAGAUCCAAAAGUCGAAGCUGGAGAUUGUACUGCUGGAACAACAGUUAAGGGACAUACAGGGUGACCAAUAAAGGCAGUUGACCACAG
Non-coding RNA from Maylandia zebra (zebra mbuna), 123 nucleotides. The record is from RefSeq and is a predicted model, not a curated record. Lineage: Eukaryota; Metazoa; Chordata; Actinopteri; Cichliformes; Cichlidae.